RNAcentral lists this ribosomal RNA (448 nucleotides) under uncultured bacterium. Its description in RNAcentral is "bacterial SSU rRNA". It matches the Rfam family "Bacterial small subunit ribosomal RNA", at positions 329 to 797 of the family's 1533-position model. The record is from RNAcentral.
GACCAGACUCCUACGGGAGGCAGCAGUGGGGGAUAUUGCACAAUGGGGGGAACCCUGAUGCAGCGACGCCGCGUGGGCGAUGGAGUGCUUCGGUAUGUAAAGCUCUAUCAGCAGGGAAGAAAAUGACGGUACCUGACUAAGAAGCCCCGGCUAACUACGUGCCAGCAGCCGCGGUAAUACGUAGGGGGCAAGCGUUAUCCGGAUUUACUGGGUGUAAAGGGAGCGUAGACGGCAUGGCAAGUCAGAUGUGAAAGCCCGUGGCUCAACCCCGGGACUGCAUUUGAAACUGUCAGGCUGGAGUGCAGGAGAGGUAAGUGGAAUUCCUAGUGUAGCGGUGAAAUGCGUAGAUAUUAGGAGGAACACCAGUGGCGAAGGCGGCUUACUGGACUGUAACUGACGUUGAGGCUCGAAAGCGUGGGGAGCAAACAGGAUUAGAUACCCCAGUACA